UUGCCCUAGUAACGGCGAGUGAAGCGGCAACAGCUCAAAUUUGAAAUCUGGCCUCCUUUGGGGGUCCGAGUUGUAAUUUGCAGAGGGUGCUUUGGCGUCGGCAGCGGUCUAAGUUCCUUGGAACAGGACAUCACAGAGGGUGAGAAUCCCGUACGUGGUCGCCUGCCUUCGCCGUGUAAAGCCCCUUCGACGAGUCGAGUUGUUUGGGAAUGCAGCUCUAAAUGGGAGGUAAAUUUCUUCUAAAGCUAAAUACCGGCCAGAGACCGAUAGCGCACAAGUAGAGUGAUCGAAAGAUGAAAAGCACUUUGGAAAGAGAGUCAAACAGCACGUGAAAUUGUUGAAAGGGAAGCGCUUGCAGCCAGACUUGCUCGUAGUUGCUCACCUGGGUCCGCCCGGGGCACUCUUCUGCGAGCAGGCCAGCAUCAGUUUGGGCGACCGGAUAAAGGCCUCUGUCAUGUAUCUUCCUUCGGGAUGACCUUAUAGGGGAGGCGUAAUGCGGCCAGCCCGGACUGAGGUCCGCGCAUCUGCUAGGAUGCUGGCGUAAUGGCUGUAAGCGGCCCGUCUUGAAACACGGACCAAGGAGUCUAACAUCUAUGCGAGUGUUUGGGUGUCAAGCCCGGGCGCGUAAUGAAAGUGAACGGAGGUGGGAACCCUCUCCGGGGGGUGCACCAUCGACCGAUCCUGAUGUCUUCGGAUGGAUUUGAGUAAGAGCAUAGCUGUUGGGACCCGAAAGAUGGUGAACUAUGCUUGAAUAGGGUGAAGCCAGAGGAAACUCUGGUGGAGGCUCGCAGCGGUUCUGACGUGCAAAUCGAUCGUCAAAUUUGGGCAUAGGGGCGAAAGACUAAUCGAACUAUC
RNAcentral lists this ribosomal RNA (855 nucleotides) under Keissleriella rosacearum. Its description in RNAcentral is "eukaryotic LSU rRNA". It matches the Rfam family "Eukaryotic large subunit ribosomal RNA", at positions 75 to 944 of the family's 3401-position model. The record is from RNAcentral. Lineage: Eukaryota; Fungi; Ascomycota; Dothideomycetes; Pleosporales; Lentitheciaceae.